UGGGGAAUAUUGGACAAUGGGCGCAAGCCUGAUCCAGCCAUGCCGCGUGAGUGAUGAAGGCCCUAGGGUUGUAAAGCUCUUUCACCGGUGAAGGUAAUGACGGUAACCGGAGAAGAAGCCCCGGCUAACUUCGUGCCAGCAGCCGCGGUAAUACGAAGGGGGCUAGCGUUGUUCGGAUUUACUGGGCGUAAAGCGCACGUAGGCGGACUUUUAAGUCAGGGGUGAAAUCCCGGGGCUCAACCCCGGAACUGCCUUUGAUACUGGAAGUCUUGAGUAUGGUAGAGGUGAGUGGAAUUCCGAGUGUAGAGGUGAAAUUCGUAGAUAUUCGGAGGAACACCAGUGGCGAAGGCGGCUCACUGGACCAUUACUGACGCUGAGGUGCGAAAGCGUGGGGAGCAAACAGG
Molecule: ribosomal RNA, 404 nt
Filed under: Pseudomonas sp.
Lineage: Bacteria; Pseudomonadati; Pseudomonadota; Gammaproteobacteria; Pseudomonadales; Pseudomonadaceae
Also listed under: 3 other names
Description: partial 16S ribosomal RNA
Rfam family: Bacterial small subunit ribosomal RNA
Source: RNAcentral